CACACACACACCUCUCUUUCUAAAG
RNAcentral lists this unclassified non-coding RNA (25 nucleotides) under Mus musculus (house mouse). RNAcentral describes it as "oocyte_clustered_small_RNA10213". Lineage: Eukaryota; Metazoa; Chordata; Mammalia; Rodentia; Muridae. The record is from RNAcentral.